This 468-nucleotide ribosomal RNA is filed under the name uncultured bacterium. RNAcentral describes it as "partial 16S ribosomal RNA". It matches the Rfam family "Bacterial small subunit ribosomal RNA", at positions 28 to 507 of the family's 1533-position model. The record is from RNAcentral.
GACGAACGCUGGCGGCGUGCUUAACACAUGCAAGUCGAACGGAAAGGCCCUGCUUUUGUGGGGUGCUCGAGUGGCGAACGGGUGAGUAACACGUGAGUAACCUGCCCUUGACUUUGGGAUAACUUCAGGAAACUGGGGCUAAUACCGGAUAGGAGCUCCUGCUGCAUGGUGGGGGUUGGAAAGUUUCGGCGGUUGGGGAUGGACUCACGGCUUAUCAGCUUGUUGGUGGGGUAGUGGCUUACCAAGGCUUUGACGGGUAGCCGGCCUGAGAGGGUGACCGGCCACAUUGGGACUGAGAUACGGCCCAGACUCCUACGGGAGGCAGCAGUGGGGAAUAUUGCACAAUGGGCGGAAGCCUGACGCAGCAACGCCGCGUGCGGGAUGACGGCCUUCGGGUUGUAAACCGCUUUCGCCUGUGACGAAGCGUGAGUGACGGUAAUGGGUAAAGAAGCACCGGCUAACUACGUG